Molecule: RNA transcript, 3712 nt
Organism: Penaeus indicus
Lineage: Eukaryota; Metazoa; Arthropoda; Malacostraca; Decapoda; Penaeidae
Gene name: calpain-B-like
Exons: 29
Source: RefSeq, a predicted model, not a curated record
GCCAACCGGGAGGCCAGCCUGGCUAUGGAGGAGGUCAACCUGGUUACGGAGGAGGUCAACCUGGCUACGGAGGAGGUCAGGGAGGCUACGGAGGAGGUCAGGAUUAUUACGGAGGAGGUCAACCUGGCUACGGAGGUCAAGGAGGCUACGGAGGAGGAGGUCAAGGAGGAGGACAAGGAGGAGGAGAUAUGAUUUCGGGACUCAUUGGAGGAUUUCUCGGAGGUGGUGGAGGAGGAGGGCACCAGCAGCAGCAACAACAAGGAGGAGGAGGAGGAGGAGGCAUGAACGACCUCAUCACCGGAAUGGCCUCGAACUACAUCGGCGGAAUGAUUGGCGGAGGUCACAACCAGAACCAAGGUCACGGGGGUCACGGAGGUCAAGGGGGCGGCGACUUUAUCUCCGGCAUGGCGUCUUCCGUCAUCGGGAAUCUGUUCAGCGGAGACUCGGGCGAAGCGACCAAACAGAAAACGGGAUUUGACGACAGGAUGGUUGCCGGGAUCGUCUCGAAUGUCGUCAGGGGAAUUAGGGGCCGCCCCCAGCUCCCCCAAGGCGAGGCUGACGGCGUGAAUGACGACGUCGUGGCGUCUGUGACCUCGUCUGUCAUCAAGGAGAUUGUGAGCCAGGACAGCGAGGGCAAAAUCCUGUCUUCGAACGACCCCAACGUGAACAGCUCCAUCGUCUCGAACAUCGCCUCGAAGAUCGUGCAGAAUAUCAUGACCUCGGACACUCCAGAGGGACAGGAGCUGAAAGCCGCAGCGCGCGAGGGAAGAGACGUGGAAGGCGGCUUAGUUGGCGGUCUCGUUUCCGAUGUCAUUUCCGGACUGAUUGGUGGACGCGGAGGAGGAGGGGGAGGAGGAGGAGGAGGAGGCAUGAGGAACGACCUGAUAGCCGGUAUGGCGUCGCAGUAUAUUGGGAGUAUGCUCAGUGGUGGAGGAAGUCACGGAGGGGGGGGAGGAGGAGGCCAGAGGAACCAGGACGACGUGCUGUCCGGCAUUGCGUCCAACGUCAUCGGAGGUUUAGUCGGUGGAGGAGGAAGUGGAGGAGGAGGUGGAAGUGGAGGCGGCUCCAUGUCAGGCGGAGCCAUCGCCUCGAACAUCAUCGGCAAGAUUGUCAGUAAUAAGCUCGGACAAGGAGUUGUGGGGGAUGUCGUGAAAGAAUCCUCGACUGACGUGUUGGCCGAGGUGAUGGAGGGAGCCAUGGGGCCGCAGUUCAGUCGCAAGGAAGAUGGCGAAGUGGUCGAGAAUCUGACGCAGAGCCAAGUGGACCCCAGCAAGCACAGGAUCUUCCCCGAUCCAGGGUCACUCAUUUCCUCAUUCAUGAGUAAGGGCGCCUACCAUCUGCGCAACCGACUCAUGGGCGGCGGACGAGCCAGGGCGCAGCAUGUGCAUCCCGCCCACGCCGUCUUCAGGUUCGGCGAGCGCGGCUCCGGCCUCCGACCCCGCGGCGAAGUGCAAGAUUUCUAUUCCUUGAGACAGCAGUGCCUCGACUCUGGCACUCUGUUCGAGGACCACGACUUCCCCGCCGAGGACGCCUCCAUCUUCUUCUCCAGGGCGCCGCCCAAGCCCUUCGAGUGGAAGAGGCCGCAUGAAAUUUCAGACGAUCCUUGCCUCUUCAUCGAUGGCGCUUCGAGGUUUGAUGUGAAGCAAGGAGAAUUGGGUGAUUGCUGGCUCCUCGCUGCCAUUGCAAACCUGACGUUGAACAAGCGCCUCUUCUACCAGAUCGUCCCGAGUGACCAGGGCUUCGGAGACAACUAUGCCGGAAUAUUCCACUUCAGGUUCUGGCAGUACGGCCGUUGGGUUGACGUGGUGGUGGACGACCGCCUGCCCACCUUCUACGGGCGGCUGGUGUUCAUGCACUCGGAGGAGAGGAACGAAUUCUGGUCCGCGCUGGUGGAGAAGGCCUAUGCUAAACUGCACGGCUCCUACGAGGCCCUGAAGGGAGGCACAACCUGCGAGGCGAUGGAGGACUUCACCGGCGGCGUCUCGGAGAUCUACGACCUGACCAAGGCGCCCCCGAACCUCUUCAACAUCAUGCUGAAGGCCUACGAGAGGGGGUCGCUCAUGGGGUGCUCGCUGGAGCCCGACCCCAACGAGGUGGAAGCCCGCUGCAACAACGGCCUGGUCCGCGGCCACGCCUACUCCCUCACCCGCAUCAAGUACUGCGAGAUCGAGACCCCCCGCGUCUCGGGCAAGAUCCCCCUCGUCAGGAUCCGCAACCCCUGGGGUAACGAAGCCGAGUGGCUGGGGGCCUGGAGCGACAAGAGCCAGGAGUGGCAGUUCAUCCCCGACGAGGAGAAGGAGGAGAUGGGGCUGACCUUCGAGCACGACGGAGAGUUCUGGAUGUCAUGGAAGGACUUCCUGGCCAACUUUACCAUGCUCGAGAUGACCAACCUCAACCCCGACUCCCUCGAGGACGAGGACAUGACAGGCUCCGUCAGGCACAAGUGGGAGAUGAGCGUCUUCGAGGGCGCCUGGAUCCGCGGCUCGACGGCUGGAGGAUGCAGGAACUUCUUGAAUACCUUCUGGCACAACCCCCAGUACAGGAUCACGCUGACGGAGGUUGAUGACGACGACGAUGACAAUAAGUGCACAGUCAUCGUGGCGCUGAUGCAGAAGAACAGGAGAUCGCAGCGGAAACUGGGUCUCGAGUGCCUCACCAUCGGCUUCGCUAUCUAUCACCUCCGCGACCCAGAAUCGGCCCCAAGGCCUCUCGAUGCCAGUUUCUUCAAGUACACAGCCUCCGUCGCCAGGUCCCCCUCCUUCAUCAACAUGAGAGAGGUCUCGUGCCGUUUCAAGCUCCCUCCUGGCACGUACUGCAUCGUCCCCUCCACGUUCGAGCCUAACGAGGAGGGAGAGUUCAUCCUUAGGGUGUUCUCCGAGAAGUCCAACGAGAUGGAAGAAAACGACGAAGAAGUUGGACUUGGCGAAGUUGAUGAAAGGGGAGACGAAGAGGAGAAGGAGGAGGUUCAGCCCGAGGACGAAAUUCAGGCCGCUGAAGCAGACGAGAGAAUUCGCAGUUUCUUCCAGAAAGUUGCAGGGGAAGAUUUGGAGAUCGAUUGGAAGGAGUUGCAAGAUGUGAUGAAUUUUGCAUUGAAGAGAGAAUUCAACUUCGACGGCUUCUCGAAGGACGUCUGCCGUGCAAUGAUCGCGAUGAUGGACGUUGACCGGUCUGGCAAGCUCGGGUUGCACGAGUUCUUGCAACUGUGGACGGAUAUUCGCGUCUGGAAGAACGUCUUCCGCCUGUACGACAAGGACUCCUCCGGCCACCUGUGUUCAUUCGAGCUCCGCCAGGCGCUCAACUCUGCAGGCUACAGGUUGAACAAUCACGUGUGCAACGCCCUCAUGUUGCGUUAUGGGGACGACCAGGGACAGAUUUCCUUCGACGAUUUUAUCAUGUGCAGCGUCAAGUUGAAGACCAUGAUGGGCAUAGGCGACGACCCUGAGAAACUACAGGAAUUUUACGAUGAAUUAAUGAGCGAAAAUGAGGCAAAACAACAACAACAGGAGGAGGAGGAGGAGGAGGAAGAAGAAGAAGAGUAGGAGAGAAACGGCAAUGAAGAUCCGAUGUCAUUGAUGGCGUUGGUUGAAAGGAUGGAUGUGAUUGACGAAACGUUUUUGGAAAAGGACUUGGAGAAGACAAACUCGGCGACGUUUACGCUCGAAGAAUGGAUCGAGAACACCAUGUAUUCGUAGGAAAGGAAGGAGGAGAAAGA